GAGGGUGUAGUUCAGUGGCAGAGCAUUAGCCUAGCAGGCUUUAGGCUCUGGGUUCAAUCCCCAGCACCCCCC
This 72-nucleotide transfer RNA is filed under the name Fukomys damarensis (Damara mole-rat). It matches the Rfam family "tRNA". Rfam says of the family: Transfer RNA (tRNA) molecules are approximately 80 nucleotides in length. Their secondary structure includes four short double-helical elements and three loops (D, anti-codon, and T loops). Further hydrogen bonds mediate the characteristic L-shaped molecular structure. tRNAs have two regions of fundamental functional importance: the anti-codon, which is responsible for specific mRNA codon recognition, and the 3' end, to which the tRNAs corresponding amino acid is attached (by aminoacyl-tRNA synthetases). tRNAs cope with the degeneracy of the genetic code in two manners: having more than one tRNA (with a specific anti-codon) for a particular amino acid; and 'wobble' base-pairing, i.e. permitting non-standard base-pairing at the 3rd anti-codon position. Lineage: Eukaryota; Metazoa; Chordata; Mammalia; Rodentia; Bathyergidae. The record is from Rfam by way of RNAcentral.